GAUGAAGAACGUAGCGAAAUGCGAUAAGUAGUGUGAAUUGCAGAAUUCAGUGAAUCAUCGAAUCUUUGAACGCACAUUGCGCCCCUUGGUAUCCCGAGGGGCAUGCCUGUUCGAGCGUCAUUUCACCACUCAAGCCUGGCUUGGUGUUGGGCGACGUCCUCUUUGGGGACGCGCCUCGAAACGCUCGGCGGCGUGGCACCGGCUUUAAGCGUAGCAGAAUCUUUCGCUUUGGAAGUCGGGGCCCCGUCUGCCGGAAGACCUGCUCGCAAGGUUGACCUCAGGUCAGGCGGGGCUACCCGCUGAAUUUAAGCAUAUCAAUAAGCGGAGGA
This 329-nucleotide unclassified non-coding RNA is filed under the name soil metagenome. RNAcentral describes it as "partial contains 5.8S ribosomal RNA, internal transcribed spacer 2, and large subunit ribosomal RNA". The stretch from base 1 to 120 matches the Rfam family "5.8S ribosomal RNA", at positions 35 to 154 of the family's 154-position model. The record is from RNAcentral.